This 511-nucleotide ribosomal RNA is filed under the name uncultured bacterium. RNAcentral describes it as "bacterial SSU rRNA". It matches the Rfam family "Bacterial small subunit ribosomal RNA", at positions 18 to 518 of the family's 1533-position model. The record is from RNAcentral.
CCUGGCUUAGAACGAACGCUGGCGGCGCGUCUUAAGCAUGCAAGUCGAACGGCAAGAGGUAGCAAUACCUCCUAGAGUGGCGGACUGGUGAGUAACACGUGGGUGACAUACCCUUCAGAUGGGGAUAGCUAUUAGAAAUAGUAGAUAAUACCGAAUACGAGCACAGGGGUUAGAGAUCUGUGAGGAAAGGAGCUAAGGCUCCGCUGAAGGAAUGGCCUGCGGCCCAUUAGCUAGUUGGUGAGGUAAGAGCCCACCAAGGCGAUGAUGGGUAUCCGGCCUUAGAGGGUGAACGGACACAUUGGGACUGAGAUACGGCCCAGACUCCUACGGGAGGCAGCAGCUAAGAAUAUUCCGCAAUGGACGAAAGUCUGACGGAGCGACGCCGCGUGGAUGAAGAAGGCCGGAAGGUUGUAAAAUCCUUUUGAAACUGAAGAAUAAGCGUUGUAGGGAAUGACAGCGUGGUGACAGUAGGUUUUGAAUAAGCAACGGCUAAUUACGUGCCAGCAGCCGC